Molecule: small nucleolar RNA, 127 nt
Organism: Rattus norvegicus (Norway rat)
Lineage: Eukaryota; Metazoa; Chordata; Mammalia; Rodentia; Muridae
Product: small nucleolar RNA SNORA29
Source: Ensembl
CUUUCUGUUAAAACCAAGAGCAGUAGUUUAGUGGCUAUGCUUAUGGGAUAGAUGAAAAGUGCCGUGAUCUGAAGAGGGGGAGUUGUUCCGUGUCUUUCCUCUAUAUGAAAUGGCUGAACAGAAAAAA